UGAGGAAUAUUGAGCAAUGGGCGCAAGCCUGACUCAGCAACGCCGCGUGGAUGAAGAAGGCCUUCGGGUUGUAAAAUCCUUUUCUGAGGGACGAUAAUGACGGUACCUCAGGAAUAAGUUCCGGCUAACUACGUGCCAGCAGCCGCGGUAAAACGUAGGGGACAAGCGUUAUCCGGAUUUACUGGGCGUAAAGCGCCCGUAGGCGGCUUAACAAGUUGGAUGUGAAAGCUCCCGGCUUAACUGGGAGAGGUCAUUCAAAACUGUUAGGCUAGAGGAUGGAAGAGGAGAGCGGAAUUCCCGGUGUAGUGGUGGAAUGCGUAGAGAUCGGGAGGAACACCAGUGGCGAAAGCGGCUCUCUGGUUCACACCUGACGCUGAGGGGCGAAAGCGUGGGGAGCGAACGGG
RNAcentral lists this ribosomal RNA (404 nucleotides) under uncultured bacterium. Its description in RNAcentral is "bacterial SSU rRNA". It matches the Rfam family "Bacterial small subunit ribosomal RNA", at positions 355 to 776 of the family's 1533-position model. The record is from RNAcentral.